Tachyglossus aculeatus (Australian echidna) is the source of this 138-nucleotide small nucleolar RNA. The record is from RefSeq and is a predicted model, not a curated record. NCBI's taxonomy places the organism in Eukaryota, Metazoa, Chordata, Mammalia, Monotremata, Tachyglossidae.
CUCCUCUCAGGGUCACACCUGGAGAGUUUCUAGUACUCUACCAGUCUCGGCUACAGGAGGGAGAGUCAAGCAGGGAAUGGAAUCCAUUCCAUUCCUAGCUUGGGCAAUGGCUAGUGAGUGGAAGAUGAGUCAAAACUC